UACACUCCUGCGGGAGGCAGCAGUGGGGAAUAUUGCACAAUGGGCGCAAGCCUGAUGCAGCCAUGCCGCGUGUAUGAAGAAGGCCUUCGGGUUGUAAAGUACUUUCAGCGGGGAGGAAGGCAAUACGGUUAAUAACCGUGUUGAUUGACGUUACCCGCAGAAGAAGCACCGGCUAACUCCGUGCCAGCAGCCGCGGUAAUACGGAGGGUGCAAGCGUUAAUCGGAAUUACUGGGCGUAAAGCGCACGCAGGCGGUCUGUCAAGUCGGAUGUGAAAUCCCCGGGCUCAACCUGGGAACUGCAUUCGAAACUGGCAGGCUUGAGUCUUGUAGAGGGGGGUAGAAUUCCAGGUGUAGCGGUGAAAUGCGUAGAGAUCUGGAGGAAUACCGGUGGCGAAGGCGGCCCCCUGGACAAAGACUGACGCUCAGGUGCGAAAGCGUGGGGAGCGAACAGGAUUAGAAACCCUGGUAGUCCC
This 473-nucleotide ribosomal RNA is filed under the name uncultured organism. RNAcentral describes it as "partial 16S ribosomal RNA". It matches the Rfam family "Bacterial small subunit ribosomal RNA", at positions 332 to 797 of the family's 1533-position model. The record is from RNAcentral.